ACGGAAGGCAGCAGUGGGGGAUAUUGCACAAUGGGGGAAACCCUGAUGCAGCGACGCCGCGUGAGUGAAGAAGUAUUUCGGUAUGUAAAGCUCUAUCAGCAGGAAAGAUAAUGACGGUACCUGACUAAGAAGCACCGGCUAAAUACGUGCCAGCAGCCGCGGUAAUACGUAUGGUGCAAGCGUUAUCCGGAUUUACUGGGUGUAAAGGGUGCGCAGACGGCAUGGCAAGCCAGAUGUGAAAGGCAGGGGCUCAACUCCUGGACUGCAUUUGGAACUGUCAAGCUAGAGUAUCGGAGAGGUAAGUGGAAUUCCUAGUGUAGCGGUGAAAUGCGUAGAUAUUAGGAGGAACACCAGUGGCGAAGGCGGCUUACUGGACGAUAACUGACGUUGAGGCUCGAAAGCGUGGGGAGCAAACAGGAUUAGAUACCCUGGUA
RNAcentral lists this ribosomal RNA (434 nucleotides) under uncultured Lachnospiraceae bacterium. RNAcentral describes it as "partial 16S ribosomal RNA". It matches the Rfam family "Bacterial small subunit ribosomal RNA", at positions 341 to 792 of the family's 1533-position model. The record is from RNAcentral. Lineage: Bacteria; Bacillati; Bacillota; Clostridia; Lachnospirales; Lachnospiraceae.